CCUUUGCCUGGUGGUCUUGCUAAUGGCUGCUGCAGCUCCAGCUACUGUAUCUGCAAUCCAGCAGACAUUUGAGUACAGCCUCCAAGCAGAGCUGCCUCCAGUGGACGCCACUGAACCCAGGCGGAGAGCAGAGGGACACCAGCUCCGGUCGUGACUGGAAGCCGAGAGGACAAAGAGCGGCUGCAGAUCACGGAAAUUAAAGUGUUCAGAGGAGCGAGGAAGACAGCAGGCCAGCAGCCGCCCGCAGAUGCCCAUGUUGCGGGCUUCUGUCCACCUGAAAGCCAGUCCUGCCAGAGAGCGGCUGUGAUCCAAGAGGGAAACGGAGCCAGAGCCCACAGUGGAGCUGCUCGGUCAGGGCAGCCUGUGAGCCUUCUGACCCUGUCUGACCCCAGCCCUUUCCUGGCCAGCCUCCUCUCUGGGCCUCCAGGCUGGGCCUCCGUUCCCCAGUUGCAGAAUGGGGUGACCACGUGGGCAGCGUCAUACACACAGCUGAGCACUGCAGCUUGAGUCUGCCCGCCCUGCUGAUGCCAGCCAGAGCUGCUGCUGGGCUGCCCGGCAGCGCCAAGGCCCUGGGACCCACCUCCAGACGGCGCCGGGCUCCAGUCUGUUUGCUCAACAGAGAGCCUGGCAGGCACAGUUCCCCUGGUUCCAGCCCCUUUUUGAACCAGAUUCAUUUGAUUUCUCAUCUUUAUUUUGGCAGGAAAAAAAUGUAAUUUCUAAUUUAAAAAUGUAGAAAGCAUCCUCCUCGUCAACAUGCGCCCAGCUCAGAUGGUGUUUGGGAAAUUAGUUGUGUCACUCACCAGCACCGGGCCCAGCAGUGGGGAUGGCCUCUCCCUCC
RNAcentral lists this long non-coding RNA (838 nucleotides) under Ictidomys tridecemlineatus (thirteen-lined ground squirrel). RNAcentral's name for it is "lncRNA (ENSSTOG00000030528.1)". Lineage: Eukaryota; Metazoa; Chordata; Mammalia; Rodentia; Sciuridae. The record is from RNAcentral.